Molecule: long non-coding RNA, 13197 nt
Organism: Columba livia (rock pigeon)
Lineage: Eukaryota; Metazoa; Chordata; Aves; Columbiformes; Columbidae
Exons: 8
Source: RefSeq, a predicted model, not a curated record
GACUAGAUGAUCUUUUGACGUCCCUUCCAACCCCCAACAUUCUGUGAUUCUGUGAUUCUGUGUAGUAUAGCUGUGCUCACCAUGGAAUAAAAAAUGUCUUAACUUGUGUGACAGAAAGCUCCAAAUGGUGCAGCUUAAUAUAUAAAUAAAAGGCAGGAAUAUAAAGAGCUCAGUGUAUUAUAUGGAAAUUUAAACAUUUUAAUAGCUGCUAAAUGACAACUCAACAUAAAGAUUUUGGGUGAAUAGCAGGCAAAUAGAUGGUGUUGAUGUGAAGUGUGCAGUACAUUGAAAUGUAUGCUAAUGCAAGUUGUGGUCAGAUUCUUAAUAAAAGAGCUAAUUUGGUACAUGCAUCUCUUUCACUGCUAGCAAUUAAUAAGAAGUAGGGAAAGCUAGACAAAAAACAGGUUUUAUAUUGCAGAGCCUGGUGUAAUUCGUCUUCAGCUCAGUGACUUCAGAUUAAUUCUGCAGCUUAUAAGGACGUGGCCCUGUUGGUUUUCUUUAAUAUUGUCCACAGGUAAAUCAGCUUCUGAAUAUUAUGUGUUACAUAAGGAAACCAAUUUCACCUGUCGGGCACUGUAGAUCCUCAAGUACAUACAAAGAUACAUCUUGAACAUAUAUUAGUCCAUCUGUGUGGAAGGAGGUGUCUACUGAAAAAAAAAAAAAAAGAGAACCUACAGGAAGAAAUAUUGUCAACUGUAUUAGAUUCCUUAAAAAGGUAAACCACACCAGUAAGACCAGGGUUCUCUCUAUUUGCAGUGCCUUUUCUUGUAAGACCACAACAAUUUUAUUUGAUAAAAUAAGAUAUGACGAAAUGGCGUAUUUGGAGUCAUACAGGCCUUUAAACAAAGUGAAUACUUCAAUUAACUCUCAAGUUUUUUAUAACUGAAACCUGAAUUUGGACAUGGUAUUUUAAAGUGCUGGAAUUUGCCUCCACUAUAAACAUAUGAAAAGACUGAUCCCUGACAUUUACUGCUUCACACUUCUAAACAUUUAAAAAACAGGUCAGAUGGCAAAUUUGGUAAGGCAAGGAAAGAUGAAAAUCUUUUACCACUUUUUUUUUUUUCUGUCCAAAGUACUUUGUUCAGUGUUGGAACAGAGUCUUUUUUCAUUGCAGAAGGAAGGUAAGUCCCAGCCAAAAUGUACCAAAAUGUACCAACGUGGUGUCUGCUGAGUGAGCAUGCAAAGCAAACACUGGUGUUUUGAUUUUAUAAUCUCAACCCAUCUUGCAGUCUCAAAUAUCCUUCAGUUUUCAUUCCUUCUCAAAACCUUGUUAUUUCUGUCAUGGUGGGCCAGUCUCUGCUUGCAUGGAAGUGAAACACCUACUGUCAUAUUGUCUGCAUUCAGGAGUUAAGCUGUUUGUUCUGGAAAACAAUUAUCUGCAGCACAGGAUCUUUGGUAUCUAGUUUACCUGUUUUGUUCACUGUUUUAAUAUGGAUUUUUUAUAUGGAGACAGAUUUUUUUAACAUGGCCUGUUGGAAUAGGAUGAUGGGUAAUAGUUUUAAACUAAAGGAGGAAAGAUUCAGACAAGACAUGAGGAAGAAAUUUUUUACAGUGAGGGUGGUGAAACACUGGCCCAGGUUGCCCAGAGAGGUGGUCGAUGCCCCAUUCUUGGAGACAUCCCAGGCCAGGCUGGACGUGGCUCUGAGCAACCUGAUCUAGUUGAAGAUGUCCCUGCUCAUGGCAAGGGGGUUGGACUAGAUGACCUUCAAAGGUCCCUUCCAACCCAAACCACUCUGAUUCUGUUAUUUUUAAGAGCACAGAGCUGAAUCUGACCAGUUUGGCAUCUCUGGGCAUGGUAGAGGCCCGUGAGGACCUGUCUUGCUGCCGUGCUCGGCCCUGCCUCCUGUCCCUCAGGGCACAGGCAGUCAUGGACCCCCAGGAUGCCCCUUGCUGAGAGAGGACACAGGUGUCAGGGCCCAGCUCGUUCCCUCUCCAUGGGUAGAAUCAUAGAAUGUCCUGAGUUGGAAGGGACCCACAAGCAUCAUUGAGUCCAACUCCUGUUCCUGCAUGUGAUAAGCCCACAGUUCACACCAUGUGUCUGAAAGUGUUGUCCAGUCUCUUCUUGAACACUGUCAAGCUUGGGGCUGUGAAAUCUCCCUGUGGAGCCUGUUACAGUACUCCAGCACCCUCUUGGUGGAGAACCUUUUUCCAGUGCCCAACCUAAACCUCCCCUGGCACAUCUUCCUGCCAUUCUGUCGGGUUCUGUCAUUCGUUGCUAAAGAGAAGAGUUCGGUGCCUGCCCCUCCUCCUCCCCUUGUGAGGAAGCUGUAGCUGCCAUGAGAUCUCCUCUCAGUCUCCUCCAGUCUCCUCUUCUCCAAGGUCUGGCUGCUGAGGGUGCUCUGGCCACUGAGGGUGGCCAUCAUUCCACCGGGCUGGGGAGAAGCCCAGCCAGGCAGUGGGGAGGCUGGGGCCAGGUCUUGCCUCAGCCCUGGGGAGCUGCUCUGGGCUGAGCAGGACCCUCAUGGCUCCCUGACCCCUACUUCAUUCCUGAUUUUCUACUGAGGGAGUCGCCCUGCGUGGGAGCAGAAGGUGAGGGGUGUGGACUAAAUUUUUUUGCAAAGUAGCUAGCGAAGAUGUUGGGAAUGUGCUGGUAAAGAGGUGAGAGAAGUGUCUGGCAUUGUGGUAACCAAAGUGUCCUUUCAUCUGAAAAAUACAGGGAAUACUGGAGAUGAGUGGCAGGGCAGAAGUGGAUUUUCUAGAAAUUUCUGCCCUGUUGUUACAAUGGCCAAACCCCGGAGCUCAGCCCUCCAGACCUUGGGGGACACGUUUUCCAUGUGGGCCACAGCACCCACUGAGUUCCGAGCUCCAGAUGCUGAUUUAUGUCCCCCUGUGCUAGAUACAAGCGAUGAACCACCCUGAGAUCCGAGCUGUUCCAUGCUGGCUGGUAAAAGGCACCUUCAGUAAAAGGGCAUAGGCUGGAGGACUAACCUUGAGCUGCCAAAAUCGAGAUACAUCAUGAAAGAGAAGCCUGAGCCUUGAAAAGAAGGAUACGGCUGCUUUAUAUGUCUCCUUCAGGAAAGGUCUAGGACUCUUAAAAUCUGUGGUAGACAGAACAACCUUCUUGUAGACAUUGAAUAAUGGAAUCCAAAUAUUAGUAUCCGUGUAGUAAAACUGAUAAGAUUGUAAGAGUAUCAAAGCAGGAUCAGAUUACAAGGAAGUAACACUUCAGGUUUCCAGUCUCCCACUGAGCUCAUGUAAAGUUUUAGAAGACAUAACAUGCUGUGAUAGAAAUCCUGUGGACCUGUCAUGUUCUGCUUCUUUUUGGCUGGCCUGUUUGCUGUUCAUCUCUUGAAUAAGUUCUAACAUUGAUGUUUUAAUCUGAAUUCAGCUGAUACAUAAUAUCCUUGCAAUGAAUAAAAGCUACAACAGGAGUACAUUGCUUGACUUCCAUUACCUGAGAUGAGCUUGGCCGAGUUAAAGGAAACCUCGUUCAGAGAGCAGGCCUGGACACAGAAGCUCAUGUGUUUGCCACACUACUUCUGGAGGACCGUUUUACUGCAUCGAACUAUGACGUCAACUCCCAGUAACAACUUAAUAGAUCAAGUCUUAGAUCUUGAGUUCUGGAGUCCAACCAUUGCAACAACUGCUUCUUUUAAAGCACUGCAGACCACAAAACCAAGGAGGCAUUUCAUGAGAUUGGGAACAAAUACUCUGUGUCAUUCUGAUUGGGAGGAAACCCCACAAAACAUCAGGCAAGUACAGGGUUUGCCUGCAUUCACAAAAUACCUUAAAAUCUUGGUUUGUGUGAAAGUAAUUACUACUUUUAAAAAAUUUAUUUUUAAUAGAAGGAAGGAAUUAGAGGGAAAUGUUAGAAGUUUUAUUGAACUAGUCUUGCUGAUAGAGAAUUAGAAAAGCUUAUGGGUGGAUCACCUUUCCUCCAGGCUCAUGACUGAAUGCUUUUCUUAAUUUUUCUCUCUGCAUUAGUUACUCUUCUUAAAUUAUCUUCUCACUGUUCAAACAUAUUUCUUGUUCCAAAUAAUUUACUUUAUUUUCACACCUGCCAGCCUAACCUGCCUCAAUUUACUCUACAUUCCCAGUAGAAUCAUUGCUAAUGCAAUGCUAAUGCAAUGCUAAUCAUUUUUGUGCUGACACUUUUACCAGCCAGCUGAACAAUUUUUGUAACUGUUUAAAAUGUUCUUCAUCUUAUGAAUUUCCUUUAAUAGCUAUUGUUUUCAAAAGUAAUCAUACUUACAUAAAUUACAAGUUUUUAACCAGUAAAACAAAAAACUAAAACAUAUUUAUUUCCAAGUUUUGAAGACAAAAGUUUAACAAAAAGAUAUUUUUAUUUAGGACUACUGCAGUUCAGAUUUUUCACUUUCCACAUAUUCAGAAAUGCACCUGAACUGAAACAUCAUUUCAGAAAGCUGGGCAAUACAGCAGUUCCAAUUUGUAUUAUAACAAAUGUCCAAUUCUAGUCUGUGGCUAGAGUGUGGAAAGACUGAGGAAAAAUUUUUUGAAAGGGAAUUCUCUGGAUACUUCAGAAACAAAAGUAUGUAAUUUUUUCUCUUUUAGACAAAAGAUAAGAGAAAUUUUUUAGCAAGAUGUAGAUUAAGGGGACCUGGUUCUUACAGAACCUUUGAAGAAUCCUGUGGAGGGCAAUGUAGUUUUCUAAGAGAUCUGUUUGUAGAUCAAAUUCUGCAAUUAUUUAUUUGCACAGGUGAAUGUGAGGCCAUGAAUUUAAGGCCAGAAUUUGGCUUGCAGUAACAUUAUUAUUCUUGAUGAGUCACAAGAAAGAACUUAGCUUGACCUUUAGAUCAGAUUGCAUUUGAAGGGGUAAGAUUCAGAGGAGCCAUCUCUUUGCGCAAGCCUUAUAUGUGAUUUUGAGCCAAACUAAGCAUAAAUGUAUAAAACUGUGUUGAAGAUCAAGAGGCAAUCAGACUAACAGAGACAGACUAAGGGGAAACUAUGACUUCUUUAAGAUUAAAUAAUUUAUUUGAAAGUUGGUAGAAAUCACCUCCCAGACUAUACCAUAUUCAGGUUUAACUCAUUGCCUUGGUGCAAAGGCCCCAAUUCAUUUUGUAUCAUGAUGCUCUGAAGCAGAAAAACAAGGCAUAAUGUAAUUCAGUUUAAUUACAAUUCUCUCCUCCCAAAUGUACUCAUUUCUGUAGUCAAGAAACUUGGCUCAGUUCUCAGACUUGCUGAGAACCACAAGAACAUGACGCAAGUCAGUCUGUGCCAUAACAAAGAAAUGUAUACUGAUGCAAUGGAUACCCAACAAACCUCCCACAAAGAACUUGUGCCUUGAAAUGACUGAAUUCCCUGACAUAUGAAACACAGGGCUUGAAGGAUAAAGGGGGGCCAAAUAUCUCCAUGCAGUGUCUCCAUUUAAUCAGCAAAAUGACCCUGAGACAAUUUUACUUGAAGUGCUUUGUUAAACUUGGAUAAUUUUGCUUAGAUCAACAGAAGGAAAUAAGGAACUCGUUAGAAAGUAGAAAAACAUUCAAUUGUACAGAUUGGAGUUCUCAGAGCAGCAGAUCCUCAUCACCAGGCACAGAAACAAAGUCAAACGUUUCCCUCUACCCUGUUACUGAGCAGCUAUAUAUACAGCAGCUUGUAUAAAUGUUUUAGAAAGGAUUGUGAUAGCCUAGGAUUCAUAUUUCUUCAUAUCAGACAUGAGAGGUGAGAUAACAAUUUUUAAAAUUUGUGAAGGAACAAAGAUUCCAUCAAUUUGAAGGAGAGAUGUUGCUUUCAGCCAUCUAGAAGACAUGUCUCAAAAAAUUUAGAAGCCUGGUGUGUGCCUUAGGUAUCUAAACUGAAUGAGCAAUAUACAAUUCUUAGUUCCCUGAUUAAACAGAAGGACAACAGGCACUUAUUUACCACUAGUGAAAUUACUUAGUCAUCUCGAACAUUGCUGCCUCACACACCCUGAUAUAUUUUUAUUAGUAUUGCAUAAACAACACUCAGCAGUUUUUGCACACCUAAAUUUCCUGAAGUAGGUUAUCCCAUGAGCAAGUUUCAUGAGUGACAUAGACUAAGAACAUAGCUCCUACAUACUUCACACUUCACCCAUGGCAACUCCAGCCACCUUAACUGAAAACAUGAAACUGAUUAAGUUAGUUCCACCAGAAUUUUGUACAGUAAACCUAUAGGUCAAGAGACUCAUUCAGGAAUGGCAGCCUGUGGUUCAGCAAUGCUCUGGAUGUACUGCAAAUUUCCCAUGAAAACCAGAAUUUGUGGUACCACUAUUUGCUGAAUUGCAAAUGAUUUUCUUCUAAAUACAUUAACAAUUCCAGGGAAUGUAGUCAACAGCAAUAAGUUAUUUAUGGACAUUUUCAGGUUACAUGGUGUACCAAUGAGCCUAGGACUCCCAUUUCUUGCACAGAUGCUCUCACCAUUAGGCUAUUUAAAAAAAUGUGGCAUCACCAGGAUGUGUCCCCAUCUUUUAAAAGAAAUGAGUCACCACACUUCCACAUCAAAUGGAAAAGUUAAGACAAGGAUGGGUUUGAGACUGUUACCCACAUUUUCAUACAAGUAUCUGGUGUGGUGUUGCAGACAGUGCCUGAAUCUAGAAUCAAAGUGGCUGUUCAUUCAUCUUUCUCCAUCAUUGCUCCUGUUUGAUAGUGUAGAUGUCUUCUUCUUCAAUGUACUGGCUUCUGUGAAUCCUGUUAUCAAGAGUGUAACUCACAGCUGUACUCUGCGAUUCAAGAAUUCAGUGUCUAUUUUCACUUAAUUAAGGCACUUCAACCAUAGGUUAACUGGUUAGUGAAUAAAUUAGAGGUCCACCUGUCACCACUAACUUUUGGGUUAAGAUUUUUGGCUUUAAGUGAUGGUAAAUUUCUUUGGUCGUCACUUCCAGGUAAGUGGAACCCAUUAGCUUUGCUGAGGUGAGUCUGGAGGAGCAUGUAUCAACUCAUCUAAAUGCUCUGAACUUCUGACCUUAAAUACAGAUCUGAAAGUCUCUGGGGAACAGAUGGGCACUAGAGAAGUCCAGCAAACAGUGCUUUCAGUCUAACAGGAAAUACUGAAAGAAUGGACUUUCUGUAACAGUGGUUAUUUAUAAUUCAGUUAAAACCAAGAAGAUAACUUCAGGAAAAUGAAAAGUUAAAAGAAAACAGUGACAUUUUUUUUAAUCAAGAAAAUAUGAGGACUGGUCACAUUUUCAGCAAUCCAAGGCAAAUGUGAAUACCUUAUUUAUGCUUCAAAGCAUGUAUAAAAUUUAUCUAGAGACAUUAAAUGCUCCAUUUAAAAGAACACCUCAUAAUAUAUUCCUUUUCAGGAGUAACUGUUGAGAGCCUAAACAUUCCUUUCUGUGGGGCUACUAUGCUUAAUUCUUUAAACAUGUUUUAGAACAGCUAUACUUCUACUGCAAAUGUGAACUCAGCUGUGGGUGGUAAAUGGUAGAGGUAUUUUCAGUUUAUUUGAAAUACUUGACACUUUUUGUUUGCCUUGGGCUUCAACCCCCCAUAAGUGAGUGAAAUGGAUGAUCUUAGGGUUACUGACUCAUAUUUCCUGUCCUCAUGAUAAUAAAACAGAGUAAUAACAAAUAUGGAGAAAUUAAGAAACAACUUGGGACCAAUAAUAAGUUGAGGUGCCUUCAAGAAAAACAAUGAUUUUCAAAAAUAAAUACUUUUAUUUCAUUUUGGAGCCUGACUGCAGCAUGAAAUUGAGUGAAUUCUUUCUCCUUAAAAUUAGCAGCCAACAGGAAGGCAGCACCUGGAAUAUUUUAAAAUAAAUACCUUUAAAGAAAUACAGAGUCUUUCAUCCUUGGGAAAAAGGAAAGUGCCUGUGUGAGUGGGCAAAACACAGGAAAUUGGAUUGUUAUGGGGGUUAUUAAGCCUGCAUUAUGAGUCUACUUUCCCUACAGAAAGACAGAGUGCAAUUCAAAGCAUAAACCAACAUUCAUUGUAGGCAUUUGCCAAACAUCUCAGAAGGGACUGCAGCACAGUCACAUCUAUAUACAAUAAAAGUGAACAUCGUUUUUCUGCUUCCGCUGUCUUCAAUGGUUAUCUUCCAAUGUGGACUCCACACCAAAGCUAACAAGGAUUUACUGUGCUUUGGUAAAGCCAUGCUCCCUUUGGUCACCUGUAUUGUUGUCCCUGCAAUAAAUUCAGAAGAUUGUGGGAGAGCAUUAGAGGGAAGACUGGAUGAAGGAUGCUGCCAAAUGCCCAUUUUGUAUUAUCAGCUGUUGCUUAGCUUCACUGGCAGCGAAGCAGAAUAAGAACAUACACAUUCAUAGAUAUUCAUAGCUAUUUUUUCAUCCUACAUUCUUUCCUGCAAAGAUGGAUUGACUUGAUUUUUAUUCUGUUGUCCUUUCUUAUUGUUGUUCUUAUUAUUUGUUGCAUUUAUGAUUAAAGCAUAGAAAUAUUGGCUGGAAGAAACUACGGAGGUCAACCAGUCCACUAUCUCACUUGGAACAGGACUUUUGCCAAUACUAGAUCAAAACAUCAGUUGUUUUGUACGGUGAAGUGUUGAAAACCUCCCAGGAUGGAGAUUCCAUGUCCUCUUUUGACCAACCUGUUGCAGUAUUGUAGUACCCUACUAGUGAAGAAGUUUUUCUGAUGUCCAGUCUGUACCUUUCAAACCCUAAUUUGUGGCUGAAGGUUUUGGUUUUUAGUCUGCCACUAUAUCAAAGAGUUCAGCUUCAUUGUCUCUGUAACUCCUUCAAGUAGUUAUGGGCAGAAAUUUUUUUUGUCUUGGUUUUGGAGAUCAGAAUGAACAGAAGAUUUAUUCUUUCUGGAAUAGUGAAUGAAAAAAGUUCCUGUGAUCUAACAAUGCUACCUGCAGGUCCUUGAGACAUUUUGCCAUAUGCCACAUCUUCUCCAGGAGAGGCUGCUUCACACAUGUUGCGAGCCUAGUAGCAAAAAAAAGAGGAUUUGAAGUGAAAUAUUCUGCUGCAUGAGCCCAGGAACAAGGAUUUGAGACUGAAAAGCUAUGAUGGCUUUUUACUUGCUAUUACAUACAUAGAUCCAAAAUGCAUUUUCAGAGUAUGGACUGCUCUCAGUGAUGCAACCAAAUCUGACUUUACACUUGAAAGAAGCAAUAAGAUAUUGUGACAUGUUAGGAUAUCAGUAGUGUAUGGCAGUACAGUAUUUGUACUAUUGUUGAGAAUCAUCUCCUCUCUGAUGGACAUUUUAGUUAUUCCCACUCAGGGCAAUUGCUGUGGUUUAACCCCAGCUGGCAACGAAGCACCAUGCAGCCACUCACUCACUGCCUCCUCUGGUGGGAUGUGGGAGAGAAUUAGAAAGGCAAAAAGAGAGAAAACUCAUGAGUGGAGAUAAAGACAGUUUAACAGGUAAAGCAAAAGUUGCACACACAAGCAAAACAAAACAAGGGAUUAAUUCAGCUCUUUCCAUCAGCAGGCAAAUGUUCAGCCAUCUCCCGGAAAGCUGGUCUCCAUCAUGUGUAUUGGUGACAUGGGAAGACAAACACCAUCACUCUGAAAGUCCCCCUCUUCCUUCUUUUCCCAGCUUCUAUACUGACCAUGAUGUCAUAUGGUGUGGAAUAUCCCUGUGGACAGUUGGGAUCAGCUGUCCCAGUUGUGUCCCUCUCCCAGCUUCUUAUGCACCCCUGGCCUGCUCACUGGUGGGGUGGCGUGAGGAGCAGAAAAGGCCUUGAUUCUGUCUAAGCACUGCUCAGCAACAACUAAAACAUCCCUGUAUUAUCAACAGUGUUUUCAGCACAAAUGCAAAACAUCACCUCAUACUAGCUACUGUGAAGAAAAUUAACUCUAUCCCAGCCAAAACCAGCACCACACUGGAAUAGAAUCAUAUCAGGUUUCACCCCAUGAAGAGUAAAUAUAUUGGCUUUCAAUUCAAACUGCAGAGUAUGUAAUUCUUCCCAAUAUUUUUUGGAAAUGGAAAUUUGUUAUAGCACCGGGUGAUGAGAGAAUCCCAGCUUGAGGUGAAAGGUGCCGUGCUUUGGACAUUGUCUCAGCUGUAUACAUAUUGUUUAUAUGUGCACAUUUUCAAACGAAUAAUCUUUGAGAAGGCAUAUUAAGGGCUGUAAGACAUUAUUGCAACAGGGCCCAUAUACUGAAUAGCAGCAAUGUGUACUCCAGGGAACUGUCAUCUCCUCUUUACAAACCCAUUAGACAAAGUCCAUCUGCUAACACUGGCUCCUCAAAGAUGUAAGGGAACAGUUGACUCACUGAAAGGUCUGUCCAACAAACCCCUAGCUGCAUGCACUGCAUACAACAGACAUCCUUCUGGGGCUAACCAUAAACUCUGUAUCUUGUGGGCUGUGAUACUUGAAUUAUGUUUAUUCUGUUACUCCCUCAGCCAGUCUCUCAUGCGCUCUUUACCAAAAAAUGUCUGAUACCCCUCUUUCUUCAGAAAUUAUGAUCCUGCAAAGAAAUUAAAACAUAAUGAAAAAUGAUUCAUUUAAAGUUUUCUAUGAGGAUAAUGAAGGCAGAGGACAAAAAGACUUUUCCUACUUCAUCUUUAAAACAUUUUUUCCAGUUUUCGUGGGAGAGAAUUCAGCAACCGUCAAGAGAAGCAGACAGAAUCCUUAGUGCCAAAGCAAAGUGCCUGUGUUCUCAAGAUCUUAACACUCCUGAAGGGGGAUGUGGAAUAAGUCUUCUGGAGAUGUCAGCAAGACCGCAAAUAGCUUGAGAAGAAUUAAGUAAAAUUUUAAAAUAAUAGACUACAGGUGGCCUGUGGGAAGACCCUCAGUACACAAGGAAUAUGUGUUUGGCUUAUACUAAGAAGCCUUGCAGCUGUGUUUUUAAUAUAAGCCGAAGUCUGGGAUGUAACAAAAUUUAGUUAGAUGGCAUGUAAAAUGGAAUGAUAGCAGUUGUAGCAUAUAAUUAUAUGAUUAAUUUGGCAAUCUUGGAUGCAUUUGAUACUUUUUUUUUUCCCCACUGCACUAUUAAUGCUUGAUGAGUAAUGUAUAUGUAAACUCAUAAUUCAUAUCCACAUUACAGGAAAAGGCUGAUCUGAAAUAGAGGCAGGAUCAGAUAUCAAAAUCAAGUAAAAUUAAAGAUAAUUUCAAUCUCUGAGUCCUAAUUUUCAAAAGUUAUGCAGGUUUGAAAAAGGAUUACAAAUGCUGAACAUAAUCAGUGUAUUUAGUACAAAUUGUCAUAUUGGAUUCCUGUCUUCCAGAAAAACUGACACAAGCAAGGAUUUCAAGUUUGGCAACCAUGUGCCCCGUGUCCAUCCUCACAGUCCCCAGCCCCAGAAGGAUAAUUCUUAAACCUACAAUCUAUCCUGUGCAGGCUUUUUUCCCCCUGAAAGACUAUCCAAUUACUUGAUGCUGUGCUGGGAGUACCUGGGGAAGUAGUAAAAGGAAAUACAACCAAGAGCCACUGUGGUUUGACUCCUCUCCAGAUACUUUGAAAGUAUUUUGGCAAAAACAAGAUUUUAAGUAAAACUGUUUCCUUUGGUAACAUACCCAGAACUACAGGUUUUACAUUUUUGUGCUUAGUACGGAAGGCCAAAAAAAAAAAAAAAAGAGAGACCAAAUAAACCCAGCCCUUGUGUGAGAAGGUUGUACACGUGGUAGUAAUAUUGCUGGGGAAGAAACAGAGAGAAAGUGGGGGAAUUUUGAACACGAUGCAGAAAGAAGGAGAGAAUCCCUUGAGUAUCUUAGACUUUUAAAUAGUGAUAGGAGCAGCACGAUGGCUUGUUCAUCAAAGGAUGACUGUGAUAAAAGAGAAGAAAACCAUUAUUUCUUUUUCACUGUUUUGUUGUCAAGUACUGUCAAUGAGGGAGCUCUUGAAUUAACAAUGAUAUAUUGGAUUUCCUUUUUCAUAUAGGAGGUUCCUUAGACAACUUCUGAUUACUUUUUCUGGACUUCAGGACUACUUACUUCCUUUAGAAGACCUUUGUGUUUGUUUGGCUGCUGGUGAUUACAAACUGCUUGGUUGCAUACACAAAUUCUAAGUCUCUUACAUUUGCAGUUCCAUCACUCCCAUGUCCUGUACACUUCACUUACAAGUAGCGUAAUGAUUUGCAUUCAAGAGAACAGUGCUAAGUCACUGCUAUUAUUCACCAUAGUUAAUUAGCCAGAUAGGCUUAAUGCCAAUGUUUCUCUUCAGUUAAUCAUUUUCAAAUACAAAGAAGUAAAAUUCCUCACCACAGCCUUCAGACAGAUAUAUAUUUAUAUGUUUCUCUCCAUUUUUGUCGUCUCCAUUUUUGUUCAACUUGUGAGAGAUUUUUUUUCAAAGCUAAAUUUGCUGGUUUUCCUCCAGAAGUGCUCACCUUAUCAGAGCUGGUCUAACUCUUUCUGGUCUUUCUGCUUUCAAUGGAAAUGUCAUGGGUCAACACCUGUUCACAUCACAGUUUUUCUUCAGGAGGAUAAUUCUUCUGUCCUGAAGCCACCUGUUACUGGGCAGGACUCAAAGAGGCCAUUCUUUAAAAAUAGCUGUAGGAUGGAAGUCAGCUUCCGUAGGAUUACACAGGUGCUUGCUUAUAUUCUUGCAAGCUAGAGUGAUAUGGAAAUAUCAUACUGGAAGAAAUUACCAAGCAUGUGAGGUGAGUUUAAAAGAAGUCAGAAGACAGGACUGCAAUUCAAGAACAAAAAAGGAAGAAAGGGUAUUUAACAAGUGCACUGAGAUGCUGAGGGUUGGAGGCAACUGGGUAUAUUUUGGAGGUAGGUAUUUGAAAAAGCUGUGUUAAGCAAAAGGUAGGAGGUGCACACAGAUACAAGACUCUAAAGGAUGAUGGUGGAGCUGACUUUUGAUAUUUGAAAAGAAAGGCGAACGGAUACAUUUCCUUAAUGAAUAUGCUUGUACUCAUAAGUUUGACUGUAAUUUGAACAAAGACUUUGGAUUGAUACUUACUCAGCUUACCCAGUCAGAACUAAAAUGAAAUGUAAGAGGUUCUUUUCAGGGGGGAGAAAAAUCUACUAACAUGAAACGAUGUAUAAUGCCCAGUAACUGGCAACUUGCCUCUUUCCUGUACCAGGCUCAAUCUUUUUUUCUCAGGGGCUGAGAUUCAUUGUUCUUUGUACCUUGUUGAAUUCCUCAGUUAUUACACACUUAAAUCCAGUAUGUUUAACCAUGUCUGUGUAGCUUAUAUCUAACAAAUCUUCAAUAUGCCACGUGUAGAAACAACUCUUUCUGCUGUUUGACUCUCUUCAACUCAAGUGCCUAUUUUUCUUUUCUUCUUUUUUUCUUUUCUUUUCUUUUCUUUUCUUUUCUUUUCUUUUCUUUUCUUUUCUUUUCUUUUCUUUUCUUUUCUUUUCUUUUCUUUUCUUUUCUUUUCUUUUCUUUUCUUUUCUUUUCUUUUCUUUUCUUUUCUUUUCUUUUCUUUCUUUUCU